GUAAUAUUGAUUGUGUUGAUGCUGACCAGAUGUACAAACACAUUUGGAUACUUGGUGCUGGUCUUUCAAUGAUCAAAUUAAUUUUGCUUAUAUAAUAUUUGAUCAAAGUCAGAACAUUCAAAUUAUCAGUAGUAGCAGGGCAGUAGUGUGAAUUAACAUACAUGAUUUCGGGAUGAAUAACAGCAAUGAUGAAAACUAGCAGACCCAAUGAACACAUUUGAAAGGCAGCCAGAGUAUACACUUCAGCACCUACUCACACAUGGAUUGGAAAACAGUCGUUCCUUGUAGUAAUGGAAUACUAGUGGUAACCGUUUGAUUUAAUUAAGAAUUAGUCUGGUAACAUAGAUUUAGAACUAAUUUAAUCAAAGUUGAUAUCCUCUUACUUUCAACAAUUAAAGAACACAAUGAAGCUAAUUAGUAUAAAUUCAACUUACCUCACGGGCGAAUUGAUCGACGACGUUGUUAUAGUUGUGGUACAUUUGUGGAGGUCUCUGUACGAAUGUAAAUAUUUUGCGUCUUCUACCAUAGUACAACAAAUAUUGAACUAAUAUAGGUAACCCAUAACCCCCCUGCAGUCUGACAGCCAAGUCUAUUUGGAUAUUAAUGAAAUAGGCCCGCAAACAAGGACCAACACUAGUCUAGAUUGGGAGUUUCGUGAUAAUG
This is a long non-coding RNA of Daphnia carinata, 663 nucleotides long. RefSeq lists it as uncharacterized. The record is from RefSeq and is a predicted model, not a curated record. The transcript has 3 exons. Lineage: Eukaryota; Metazoa; Arthropoda; Branchiopoda; Diplostraca; Daphniidae.